Molecule: ribosomal RNA, 464 nt
Filed under: uncultured Klebsiella sp.
Lineage: Bacteria; Pseudomonadati; Pseudomonadota; Gammaproteobacteria; Enterobacterales; Enterobacteriaceae
Description: bacterial SSU rRNA
Rfam family: Bacterial small subunit ribosomal RNA
Source: RNAcentral
ACUACGGGAGGCUGCAGUGGGGAAUAUUGCACAAUGGGCGCAAGCCUGAUGCAGCCAUGCCGCGUGUGUGAAGAAGGCCUUCGGGUUGUAAAGCACUUUCAGCGGGGAGGAAGGCGGUGAGGUUAAUAACCUCAUCGAUUGACGUUACCCGCAGAAGAAGCACCGGCUAACUCCGUGCCAGCAGCCGCGGUAAUACGGAGGGUGCAAGCGUUAAUCGGAAUUACUGGGCGUAAAGCGCACGCAGGCGGUCUGUCAAGUCGGAUGUGAAAUCCCCGGGCUCAACCUGGGAACUGCAUUCAAACUGGCAGGCUAGAGUCUUGUAGAGGGGGGUAGAAUUCCAGGUGUAGCGGUGAAAUGCGUAGAGAUCUGGAGGAAUACCGGUGGCGAAGGCGGCCCCCUGGACAAAGACUGACGCUCAGGUGCGAAAGCGUGGGGAGCAAACAGGAUUAGAUACCCCUGUAGUC